Rhinocladiella mackenziei CBS 650.93 is the source of this 154-nucleotide non-coding RNA. NCBI's taxonomy places the organism in Eukaryota, Fungi, Ascomycota, Eurotiomycetes, Chaetothyriales, Herpotrichiellaceae. The record is from the annotation of a RefSeq genome assembly.
GGCGCCAUGGUGUAAUUGGUAACACGUCCUCGGCUGGUGGAGCUCCUCAUCUGCCUCCUUCAUCCCCUGGGUGUUGGUCGACCUAUUUGGGACUGGAAGAUGUACGUACUCCAUUUCUCAGAGGAAGACUCUGGUUCAACUCCAGGUGCUGCUG